Long non-coding RNA from Girardinichthys multiradiatus, 474 nucleotides. RefSeq lists it as uncharacterized. Lineage: Eukaryota; Metazoa; Chordata; Actinopteri; Cyprinodontiformes; Goodeidae. The transcript is spliced from 2 exons. The record is from RefSeq and is a predicted model, not a curated record.
CCAGAAGAUGCCAGUGGUGGAGUUCCUGGGUUCAAGUCCUGCCUGAGACGACCUGGAGAGAAGAUCUAGACCUGCUGCAGAGAGUGGGUGAGGGGGCCGUGUCCCCUCCCCGGAUAAUCAAGAGACCAGCUCAGGUGAAAGGUCAGACUGUCAAACAGGAAGUGAAGGUAGCCUCCAACAACAGGGCUGGAUAUCUGGACUGUCCACAGAUCACAAACUGGAGAAAGGACAGAAACACAGAAAAAUAUCUGAUUUAUUGAGACACUGAUCAAGAAUGAUCAUCUCUGCAGUGUCUCAGCUCAGUUACCUUCUGCUACAACUAAUCUGUCCACUAGAGGGAGCACAGAAACUUCCACUUAUUCUCCUUCAAACCUAAAGAUGAAAUAACUGCAUUCAGUGUUAUUCAACAACUUUGUUAAAAAUUUCAAAAAAGAAAUGUUCUUUUGUGAAUAAAAUGAUCUGUACCAACCUGAA